RNAcentral lists this transfer RNA (70 nucleotides) under Ameletus sp. 1 MT-2014. Its description in RNAcentral is "tRNA-Ser". The record is from RNAcentral. Lineage: Eukaryota; Metazoa; Arthropoda; Insecta; Ephemeroptera; Ameletidae.
AGUUGGUUAAUAGUAUGAACUAUACGUAUUUUGAAAGUAUGAUAAAGGAGUUUGAUUCUCCUCCCAACUU